RNAcentral lists this long non-coding RNA (1162 nucleotides) under Monodelphis domestica (gray short-tailed opossum). RNAcentral describes it as "lncRNA (ENSMODG00000038304.1)". Lineage: Eukaryota; Metazoa; Chordata; Mammalia; Didelphimorphia; Didelphidae. The record is from RNAcentral.
UCAGUUUCUUCAUCUGAGAAAUGAUGGGAGGAGCAAUAGAGUGGAAAGUGAGCCAGGCUUUCCUGGUGGGAAGUCCUGAGGUUAAAUUUGGCCUCAGAUAACUUCCUAGCUGUGUGACCCUGGGCAAGUCACUUAACCUCAAUUGCCUAGCCCUUACCUCUCUUCUGCUUUGGAACCGAUACUUAGCAUUGAGAAGGUAAGGAUUUGAAAGAAACAAAUGAUGGCUUUGGACUAGAUGGACCUCCAAGACCUCUCCUAGAUGUUCUAGCUUCUAAGAUCCCUUCUAGUUCUGCUAUUCCGAAGGUCUGUAUCUCCAAAUCCUUUCUGAGCCUGUCUACUGGCAUGUAGCCUGGGCAUUCUCUUCAUCAGAUGGACCCUUCCUUCUGGGGACCCCAGAUGCUUUGGGAUGUGUCCUCAGGCACCUUCUUUCCUGCUCCAUAGGGGCCAGAAUUCCAGUAUCAUCCCACACUCUCUGGUGCCCUUAAGAGACCAUCUAGUCCAACAUCCUCAUUUCACAGGAGAGACAGCUGGGAAUCCAAAGGGACCAGAGACUUGCCCACGAUCAUAUCGCAAACCAGAAGCAGAAUUCGAAUUCAAACCCACCUCUCCAGACUCAGAAGGAUGAAUUGGCCUGUUGGCCUCGACGGAGGAUGCCUGUCUCAGUCUCCUGUUUCUCUUCCAAGAGAGGGAAGCCAGCUUUCACCCCCAGCCUCCUGAGGUUCUGAACCAUUUCCCCUCAUGAUGUCCUUGUGGUCCUCUUAGAAGCCGUUCUCCUGCUUCAGCAUCAAUUCAUCCAAGUCUUUCCAUAGUUCUCUGAAUUAGUUAGGAUGUGAUAAAAUCACAUUAUAUUCCUCUACCUGUUUGACUCGAUUUCCUCCACUGGAAAAUGGGGAUAAUAAUAGAAUCUACCUGGAAGAUAAAUGGGAAUCAAAUGAGAUAAUCACUGUAAAACCCUUAGCACAGUGCUUGACACCCAAAUCCUUAUCCUUCCGCCCUCCUACUUCCUUCUGCCCCAGUUUAUUCAGCCAUUCUCUGACUGCUAGAAGACUAUUUUGUAUCCAGUUCUUUUUGCUACAAGUACCAUUAGGCUACGACGUCCUGCCUUUCCUCUCUUCUGAUGCUCCUUCCCAAGCAGCCAGCCCAGAUGGACUUUGCAGGGUAU